GAUGAAGAACGUAGCGAAAUGCGAUAACUAAUGUGAAUUGCAGAAUUCAGUGAAUCAUCGAAUCUUUGAACGCACAUUGCGCCCCCUGGUAUUCCGGGGGGCAUGCCUGUUCGAGCGUCAUUUCACCACUCAAGCCUCGCUUGGUAUUGGGCAACGCGGUCCGCCGCGUGCCUCAAAUCGACCGGCUGGGUCUUCUGUCCCCUAAGCGUUGUGGAAACUAUUCGCUAAAGGGUGCUCGGGAGGCUACGCCGUAAAACAAACCCAUUUCUAAGGUUGACCUCGGAUCAGGUAGGGAUACCCGCUGAACUUAAGCAUAUCAAUAAGCGGAGGA
Molecule: unclassified non-coding RNA, 331 nt
Filed under: soil metagenome
Description: partial contains 5.8S ribosomal RNA, internal transcribed spacer 2, and large subunit ribosomal RNA
Rfam family: 5.8S ribosomal RNA (bases 1-120)
Source: RNAcentral